AUACGGAGGGUGCGAGCGUUAAUCGGAAUUACUAGGCGUAAAGGGUGCGUAGGCGGCUUGAUAAGUCGGAUGUGAAAGCCCCGGGCUUAACCUGGGAAUUGCAUUCGAUACUGUCAGGCUAGAGUAUGUCAGAGGUUGGCGGAAUUCCUGGUGUAGCGGUGAAAUGCGUAGAUAUCAGGAGGAACACCAGUGGCGAAGGCGGCUAACUGGGGCAAUACUGACGCUGAGGCACGAAAGCGUGGGGAGCAAACAGGAUUAGAAACCCUAGUAGUCC
RNAcentral lists this ribosomal RNA (274 nucleotides) under uncultured bacterium. RNAcentral's name for it is "partial 16S ribosomal RNA". It matches the Rfam family "Bacterial small subunit ribosomal RNA", at positions 523 to 796 of the family's 1533-position model. The record is from RNAcentral.